CCACAUCUGCAGUCUUGCACAUGUGCCC
RNAcentral lists this non-coding RNA (28 nucleotides) under Mus musculus (house mouse). Lineage: Eukaryota; Metazoa; Chordata; Mammalia; Rodentia; Muridae. The record is from RNAcentral.